GUCAUGUGUUCAUGGCUCUCCAGUUUAAAAUUGCUGAGNCUAAGGUUAUUCUGUUCAAUUUGCUACUAUGUUUGAUCAUAUUCUACUCUGUGUAUUACGUGGUCCUAUGUUUUUGCUUCACAGCAUUCAGGCUGCAGAUGGUGGAUGGACUGGCACCGUUUGAUUUUAAGACAAACCCUUCAUGGAUUGAUCCAUAUUAUUUAGUUCUUCUAGUAUCAUUGGAAACAACUUAUUUUAUCU
This 240-nucleotide long non-coding RNA is filed under the name Salvator merianae (Argentine black and white tegu). Its description in RNAcentral is "lncRNA (ENSSMRG00000006240.1)". The record is from RNAcentral. Lineage: Eukaryota; Metazoa; Chordata; Lepidosauria; Squamata; Teiidae.